This 401-nucleotide long non-coding RNA is filed under the name Anser cygnoides (Swan goose). RNAcentral describes it as "lncRNA (ENSACDG00005001239.1)". The record is from RNAcentral. Lineage: Eukaryota; Metazoa; Chordata; Aves; Anseriformes; Anatidae.
UGUAUAUGAGAGCGAUUUCCAGCAGAGAGAAGCUUAUCACAGAUCCACCUAAAAGGUUCCCCCUCCAGAUGUUUCAUGAACGUCACUGUACUUUCUGCCCUGGGGACAGAACAGAUAGGAAUGGAAACCACUUCAGCCAGCUAUCAAUCAAUGGAAGAGACGAUGGCACCAACAAUGUGUUCCUCUGUCUGAAAGACAUAAUUGCUUGAUGGAAGAAUAGUCUGUUCGACUCCUGGGUGUGAUGGAAGUGAUGCUGGUAAGGAAGGAAAAUAUUUCCAGGAACUGAAGAAUGAUUAUAGCAUCUCUAAGGAGGACAUUUGCCUGUGACUGUUAAAGUGCUGAAUUGACUUUCCUGAUCCUUGAUAAAUAAAUGGAAAGAAUGCUUUCUGUUACUGGAGGCU